CAUCAACAAUCCACCAUACCGCCGAUGAAGGUGGUCUUAAUAGGCCAUGCUAAUACGGUUCUACUAGCCUUCUAGUUCUCGGUUUGAUUUCUGGACCGCGUCACUCAACCGAGAACAUCUUACAAGGAUCGAACGGUAAGAGAGUUGAGAUUAUACAGUAAUAACCAAACCGGUCCGGUUAUGUGUACGAACCACGAUUCUUGUGAGUUUCCCUAUUUAAAAUAAACCGUACAAGUUCAUGUCUGAAUGUUUGGCACGGACACCGACGGGGGAAACAGCUGUUUUGUCGGCGUCGGUUGGGAGAUUUUGUCGAAGAUCACUGCUUCUUAUAGUAUCAAACUCGUCAACAGCUUGAAGUAUGCUUUUUGAAACUUUACUUUUGGUUUGGGAAUGAUUUACCGCAGACAGAGUAACUCUGGAACUAUACAUGUCCUGCAGAGAAAACAAGGGCAUACCUCCUACUACCCGUGUCUGUUGUGAUUCUGGAAAUAUUUAGAGGAGCAAGUGGAAGUGGCCUAGUUCUUAAUAGUUUAUACGUGUGCUGGGACAGAGAUAGAGGAGACAAAAUUCCUAAGGAAAUUAUCUGAUUCUUGCUUGGUUUUUGAUGCUUUUGGAGCCAUCUGUGAGGGAAGAGUUGAUACGCAGCUUUUGCAGCAGGGAACUAAUCUCAUAUGAUCAGAUUUAUGUAGGAACUGAAAGCAGGUAAAAUCGAUUCUGGUCAACAUGAAAGAGAAGUCAGAUAUAGAGAGAUUACUUCUGGUCAGGCAUGCUUGUAAAAAAUUUCAUUAUAUAUAUAUCAAAAUGAAAUGUAUUUUUAUUAACAGCGCUGUGUUACCUCUCAAGGAAAUCGCUAAUGUUUUAUUUUGAUGAUUGAUCACAUUAUCGUAUUUAAUGUUCUCAGGCCUCUCAACCAACUUUAAUGUCGUCGAAUGGUUAGGAGCUGAAAAGGUGAAUGGGAAAUGAUGGUCGUAAUGUAUCCAAACUUCACAUGAAGUAUGCAAAGAAGGUUGCAGCUAAUGUAUUAUGCGCUUAGUAAUUUUGUAUAUAUACGCUUAAACUAUAUUCUAAAUUUUUCUGGUGCCUCUACUUCUACAGGUAAAGACCAGAAACAAAGAUUUAUCAAAUUCUGCUUUUAGUUCAUCUCCCUCUCUGAUUUUGGUUGUUGUGUGCAUUCCUUAGAAAGCAAGUGAAAGCCGCUGAACUCUGAUCUUGCAUGGGUUCCGUUUUUUCGGUUCUACCAAUAUUAUGAGACUUUUAAACAUCCACUUUAGUUUCCAUGUUAGUUCUUAAUUGAAUCAGCUUUGCAAGCCGCCUAGGUUUCUACAAGGGAGUGAAUAUAUAUACACUUGUGCUCUUUAACAGUUUGUCCAGUUGAAAUGCUCUAAUUCGUGGUCUUAUAUAAGAUGGAUGGAGAUUUUGAAUUCAUUAUUUUUUAAGGGUCUCCUCUUUACAGGUCGCUCACGAGUUCUAAGGCGUAUGCUUCAAAGCUAUUUCUUAAGAUCCCAAAAGGAGACACCAGUAUGGUUGCUGCAGCCACAGGUGUGGACGGACAUAUUAAAGCUGUUGAGUAUAUCUGCCUUCUUUCUGUUUCCCAUGUGUGCUUUUAAACGUAGGUCUCAGACAGAGAUGAUUUAUAGUUGAUUCUGCUGAGUAUUUCCACAAAAAGAGUAAGCUUGUUUCAGUUUUAACACCUCUACCGUCUACUUGAUACCAGAAACUGACCUUACUUGCCAUGGGUUAUUUAGGGUUGUAUUAUAUGGUUCUAAUAUGAUUUUAAGCUACUUUUUUAUGCUGACUUAGAAGAGGUCUCAACUAGUAUUGAAAAGCGUUAUGCUGACCGUACAAACAUGUGAGAGGCCCAGGUACUAUUGACAUGGCGGACUUAUAUUGUUCCUUCUUAAGCUGUGUUGAUGACUGCUGCCUUAUAUAAAAUAUAUGAUAAAUGACGCUUAUUCUACUUUAUACUCUACCAAGAUUUGAAACUGUUAUGGCUUAAAGCUAUUAUUAGUAACAGUUUCAUAAGGUUUAACCCUUUACUAACUUAAGAGCUGACGACCGUUUUGUCGAAAAUCUUUGCAUAGUUGGCGUCAUCUUUUGGAGUACGGUUCUGUGCUAAUAUAUUCAGGUGCAAGAAAAUAUUUUUUUUUAAAAUUGGGCUCAUCAGCUGCUACAAAUUCUUUGCCAGCAUGAGUCCGAUAGGCUUGACGUUUGGGCACAACCUAUAAGUCCAGUGGAAAGUACAUAUUCACGGCUGAAAUUAAGCUCUUGGAAAUGGACCGAGCAUGUUAAAAAACUGUCUUUUUAGUGGAUCCGUGUUUUGCUGUAUCAUUAGCCUCAAGAUUUCCGGCAAAUAUUGUUGUGAAAUCCGAAGUCCGUCAGCUAGUACAGGCCCAUAUAGUAGAUCUUCGUACAAUUCCUGAGGCAUUGCCAUAUUUUGUCACACCUGAAACCGUUGAAGAGAACUCAGCGCUGUUGCAGCAGCUGCCACACUUGGCUGCUUGUUCAAUUACACAGGCUCUUGGGCUUCUCACACCUGCUUACAAGGGGCAUCCGCGUGUUAUGGCUUAUGUCCUGCGCGUUUUAGAGUCUUAUCCCCGUGAACGUGUCACUUUCUUCAUGCCACAGUUAGUGCAGUCUCUGCGCUAUGAUAAAGGGGGUAUCUUCUUAGAGCUGCCCAAAGAAGUUAUACAUAUUUGCUCAUAUCCUCACUUGGCAUUUGCAGGGUGAGUCUGUUCAGGAAGAUGGUGCUUCCGUGAAGGUUUGUCCUCUAUUAAGCCUUUUGUACUUCUUGGUGUCAACGACUUUAGAGUGGAAACAUUACCGUAUUAUUUUUUGGCUAACAUAGGGAUUAUGCAACUGAUGAGAUUUGAAUCUUUCACAACAUGCAAAUCAUUCCAAUAUAUUUCCAAACUGGUUUCAUAUAGUCUA
Brassica napus (rape) is the source of this 2928-nucleotide long non-coding RNA. RefSeq lists it as uncharacterized. The record is from RefSeq and is a predicted model, not a curated record. NCBI's taxonomy places the organism in Eukaryota, Viridiplantae, Streptophyta, Magnoliopsida, Brassicales, Brassicaceae. The transcript is spliced from 8 exons.